AAUUGUAUAGUAUAAAAAAGUAUAUAUUGCUUACAACAAUAAAGAGAAAAAUAUCAAAUUUUUUUUCUACAAUUU
RNAcentral lists this transfer RNA (75 nucleotides) under Achatinella sowerbyana. RNAcentral describes it as "tRNA-Val". The record is from RNAcentral. Lineage: Eukaryota; Metazoa; Mollusca; Gastropoda; Stylommatophora; Achatinellidae.